This 405-nucleotide ribosomal RNA is filed under the name uncultured bacterium. RNAcentral describes it as "partial 16S ribosomal RNA". It matches the Rfam family "Bacterial small subunit ribosomal RNA", at positions 28 to 526 of the family's 1533-position model. The record is from RNAcentral.
GAUGAACGCUGGCGGCGUGCCUAAUACAUGCAAGUCGAGCGAAGCGGGGACGGGUGAGUAACACGUGGAUAACCUCCUCUAAGACUGGGAUCACUUCGGGAAACCUGAGCUAAACCAGAUACUUAUAGAUGGUUCCGCGCUGCAUUAGCUAGUUGGUAAGGUAACGGCUUACCAAGGCAACGAUGCAUAGCCGACCGGAGAGGGUGAUCGGCCACACGGGAACUGAGACACGGUGCAGACUCCGACGGGAGGCAGCAGUAGGAAAUCUUCCGCAAUGGGCGAAAGCCUGACGGAGCAAAGCCGCGUGAGUGAUGAAGGGCUUCGGAUCGUAAAACUCUGUUAUUAGGGAAGCGGUACCUAAUGAGAAAGCCACGGCUAACUACGUGCCAGCAGCCGCGGUAAUUC